Unclassified non-coding RNA from Pongo abelii (Sumatran orangutan), 148 nucleotides. It matches the Rfam family "Metazoan signal recognition particle RNA". From Rfam's summary of the family: The signal recognition particle (SRP) is a universally conserved ribonucleoprotein. NCBI's taxonomy places the organism in Eukaryota, Metazoa, Chordata, Mammalia, Primates, Hominidae. The record is from Ensembl.
GCCGGGCGUGGUGGCGUGUGCCUGUAGUCCCAGCUACUUGGGAGGCUGAGGCAGGAGAAUUGCUUGAACCUGGGAGGUGGAGGUUGCAGUGAGCCGAGAUUUAGCCACUGCACUCCAGCCUGAGUGACAGAGCAAAACUCUGUCUCAA